This 559-nucleotide ribosomal RNA is filed under the name uncultured bacterium. Its description in RNAcentral is "partial 16S ribosomal RNA". It matches the Rfam family "Bacterial small subunit ribosomal RNA", at positions 355 to 902 of the family's 1533-position model. The record is from RNAcentral.
UGGGGAAUAUUGGACAAUGGGCGCAAGCCUGAUCCAGCAAUGCCGCGUGUGUGAAGAAGGCCUUCGGGUUGUAAAGCACUUUUAUCAGGAGCGAAACGCUGUCGGCUAAUACCCGGCGGAACUGACGGUACCUGAGGAAUAAGCACCGGCUAACUUCGUGCCAGCAGCCGCGGUAAUACGAAGGGUGCAAGCGUUAAUCGGAAUUACUGGGCGUAAAGCGUGCGUAGGCGGUUUCUUAAGUCUGCUGUGAAAUCCCCGGGCUCAACCUGGGAAUGGCAGUGGAUACUGGGAGGCUAGAGUGUGUCAGAGGGUGGUGGAAUUCCCGGUGUAGCGGUGAAAUGCGUAGAGAUCGGGAGGAACAUCAGUGGCGAAGGCGGCCACCUGGGACAACACUGACGCUGAGGCACGAAAAGCGUGGGGAGCAAACAGGAUUAGAUACCCUGGUAGUCCACGCCCUAAAACGAUGCGAACUGGAUGUUGGUCUCAACUCGGAGAUCAGUGUCGAAGCUAACGCGUUAAGUUCGCCGCCUGGAGAGUACGGUCGCAAGACUGAAAACUC